Molecule: non-coding RNA, 4054 nt
Organism: Triticum urartu
Lineage: Eukaryota; Viridiplantae; Streptophyta; Magnoliopsida; Poales; Poaceae
Source: RefSeq, a predicted model, not a curated record
AACGGGCCGGAGGUAGAGGUCACUGCAGCAAGGAGGUUAUCACCCAGGCCGUCAUCACAGAAAUCAAGUAUGUGAGCAGCUAUGGGGCUUGAGAUCCCCUCCUGUAAAUUUCAAAGGUGAAAAAACAUUUAGUACCAAUGUCCAUUGCAGUUAUCACCCAAGGAACAAGCAUCGACAAGGUACCAGGAAGAUGACAUCAUGAAACAUUUUCAGAGCAAUUGAAAAUGCUUGGUUUUUGUCCCCAAGCAUGUUUCUACAUACGAAAAAGAAUUAAGCAAGAUCUGUGUCUGAGAAUCAAUUACGGUGAUGCAAUCGUCGUCGGGGAGCAUAGUCGGUCCUCAACAGCGACGACCGGAUUGUCUCGGCGCUGCAGCUUGUGGGAGCAAAUUCCUUGGAACUGUUCUGUUGGUUCUCCAGAAGAGAAAUGGUUCCGGACGGAGCCGUGAAAGAUCGAAUCGCAAUACGGCGAGGAAGAUGGGUUAUGGCCUUGCGGGAAGAGGAGGGGAGGGGGGCUGGAAAGAAGAAGCCUGUUUCUCCAUGCAGAUGCAAAGAUGACCUUUUAUAGGGUGGCGUCCAUGCAAGUCAGACGCCGGCAAUUUCUGCGCUACAGAUGCUAUUCUUGCGCGGGGUGUGUUAUUUCUGCAUCAACGGCUGGGAUGAUGAAAUAGAAGCGUGAUCGCUUAAUCCUGUGAUUAUAUGGAUUGAUCUGGAAGUGUCCUAUUCCGUUGGUUGUGUCAUGCACGGACGGAUGAGAGAUAUAUACCGGUGAACAAAGUGCAAGAUAUGCUCUGGACGUCCUGUCUAUGCAUAGUGGGAGCGUAAUUUGGCUUCUGUUCUGUCUGACAUGUCAUCGAUUGUAGAUGUGCACCUACUGCUUGGACUGUCGAAACUUUGGAAGAGGCUUUACCAGGCAAGAAAAGGACGUCAAGUCAUGGCUAGAGCUGUGGGUGCCUAAAGAAAGAACUUAUGCCCAUGUUUCCAAUCUGGAAUGCAGAAUCUUCAGCAAGCGAAUUAAUGGUACUAUGGCAAUUCUCGAGGAUUUUCGGUGAUGUGCAUUCAGUGGGAGAAGAUGUUUCUGUCGACGACGAGAUGCCUACGGUGCGCGUGUAUGUGAGCGUUUGUAUUUGUACUGUGUUAAAAAAAAACACCGGCAGUUACUUACGUGCCAAUCUCGAUCCAACGGCAGACAAGUAGGGUGCAUUGUUCGACCUCGAUCGUGGUAUAGACUAGGUACUGGCACUGCUAGUGUACUGUACUAUGUAUUGGCGUGCAACGGCUGGUCGACAGGUGUCGCCGCACAGACAGGGGUUGGAUUCUGCUGCACGAUCGUCUUGCGUUGCGUUGCGUUCCGUAUCACCGAAUUUCUCUACUUGGAGCCUAGACACGGCCACGGGUAUCUAACUAAAAACGACGGCCGCCUGUUCCUGUUUGUCUGCGCUACAGUACACACCCCGGACACCACAGCAGCUCUGCAUGGUCAACAGCUAGCUAGCUAGCCACCCUCGUGAUCAUGAUCGAAUAAAAUGGGGCAACAAUGGUUACCGGUGGCAAGUACGCGCCGUCCUCUCCUCUCCUUUUUUUUUCUUUUCUUUUCUGGUUGCGAAUGCAGUACGUGCCGUCCUUAGAUGCCUUUUUUUACAUGAUAAUACGUGUCUUGUUUAUAUAACCACAACAGCAGCCAUCAAAGAAAAAUAAGGGAUUACCUUUUCACCCGAGCUCGCCACGGUUUCAUCGCUAAUAUGCGACUUUUCAGACCUCCAAAGUGGCUUACUAAAGGCAAAUCCAUUGCUGUUAAAAGAAUAUGGUUGGGGCAGCACCCUGGACACGCCAUCAAACUACAUAUCUGACACCCACGAUCAGUGAAGACGUCAGAGGAGGAAGCCAUACCUGCCAGCCGCUAACCACGAACUCAGCGCACGAUCCAUCGUCUUUUAGAUGCCGCCGACGUAGACCACCAUCUACUACCUCGCAAGCUCCGCGUCGGUGCUGGAGUAAACGACAUAGCUCGUGGACACAAGUCCGCUGUAAGGAUGCUGCCUCCGCAAUGCCAUCCCCGCUUGGUCAGACUAGUUCCUAAAUCCAUCAUCGACCAUAGGGCAAGACACCUGGUCGAAGAAAGAUCUGGAGUUGGUUUAUUCCGUGUCGCUGCCGCUGAAGCCAAGUUGUUGAACAACCAAAACCUAAACUAACAGAACCCUAAACGUAUAGCUACACACAACCCAAACCUAAACGUAUAGGUAUACACAUCCGCACGCGUGAGAUCCCCCCCCUCCCCCACCCCACCAGCACCACUGCCAUAGGGAUGUCGCCACCGUCAUGCCAUCUGUGCUUGAACAUAUGUUGAAGAAAGAUCUGGAGUUUCUUUAUUCUGCCAUGUCGUCACCAUUACCGAAGCCAAGAUGUCGAAUGAUCAAAACCUAAACUGUUAGAAUCCUAAACCUAUAGUUACACACGUCCGCAUGCGUGUGAUCCGGCAACCCCUUCACCACCGUCGAUCAAGAGGUCGUCAGCGAAGGGGAGCCGCUGGGCGGAAAUCUUGUCACCCUUGCGGCGGCUAGAUCCCUUGUAGGGGAAGAAAGAAAACCCUCCCCGCCCUCCCGUCCUUGGAUGAUUGAGAAGAGAGAAGAAAUGAACCGGACAAUGAUGCACAUUAGAGGACAAGCAAAAGCGGGUAGCAUGGGGCGGAGUAGAGUGGAGUAGAGUACAUGAUGAACAGGGCCCUGCAGGUAUAUGGUUCUGACAGGUUAGAGCAAGGCAGGAAGGAACAAAGGAGACGGAAAGGCUGCUGGCUGGCCGGUGCACAAGUGUGUGCUGUGCACCCACCCAGACGGAAUGCAAUGCCCAUCAGUCCCAAAAAGGAAGAAAGAAAGAAAGAAAGAAAGAAAGAAAAGGCCCAGAGAGUUUAGGGCAUUCAUGUAUGCACCACGCUCCAAUGCCUGCCUGCCUGCUUGCUGCUCCAGUGCAGCAGCAGCAGCAGGAAGAAUCCAUCUGUCUAUCCCUUCCCGUAGGCCUCCACAAACUAGGCCAAAUCGAUCUACCAUCCUAGCACGGGCACAGGCAAAGCUUUGUGCCUGUGAUGAUCGAUCGAUCGAUCGAGGUUGCAAGUAGCGGCGGACGGAGGAGCCGAAAGGGCAAUGCCGGGAGGGCGAGCAGGCUGUGAUCUGCGCCGCGCUACGGGUGUCCCCGCUUUAGCGCUACACGCCGCGACCUGGCGAUUCCGUCCGGCGCCCCGUGGGAAUAAUGGGUGCGGUUCCGGCCGUGCGCGCGCGCGUACGAGUACGACGGUGGGUGGGUGUCGUACCGCAGCCGCAGCCGGAGCGGGCGCCGGAUCUGGGUUCCGAUCCGGCCGACCAUAUUCCGAUCGCGCGACGCGACGCCAGAUUCACUGCAGGUGCAGGCUCAUCACGAGCUUUGGAGCUCGGACGGGGAAGAGCGCGUUGCGUUGCGGACUACAUGCUCCCGGCCCGGCCAGAUCAUGCCUUCUCCCCUAUCGAGUAGUAGCUCGGUCUCUUUGUCUAUGGGGAUUAUCUAUCAUUGCAACAACUUGACCCUAGGCCCUAGCCGUAUCCUAUCCAUCUUUUUUUUUUGAAGGGUAUCCUAUCCAUCUUUGAGAUGUACGUACAGUGCUAGUGCUAUCUAUAUAGGACAACAAACAGGAAGAUUAGUGCUAGUUCUAUUUGUUCACCGUUAUCCUCUUUUUGUUUUCUUGAGAGAGAAUGCUGGUGUUUAUUGAUCACGAAACAUCGUUACAGAGAGUUUUUCGGGAUGUGCAACAUGAAAAGUUACAUUGCGAUGCGCCGAAAAAGAAUCACCAGAAGAAACACACAAUUGAACUUAAAAAAACAUACAAUUGCGCUAAUACGUGAGCCGCGCCAUUCAACAAAGGAUUAACAUGGCUAAAACUGCAAGGCUAGAAGUUGCCCGCCAACGGAGACUGAAUCCUAUGAAUACGGCCAUACAGCGCAAGAUGAAUUUGUGGAAAAGGAUGAGCACCAACAAGAGGAUCCCACGAUGACAAUGACAAGACCUAGACUCAAAGACCAUUUGCCAAAGA